RNAcentral lists this unclassified non-coding RNA (2901 nucleotides) under Hevea brasiliensis (rubber tree). Lineage: Eukaryota; Viridiplantae; Streptophyta; Magnoliopsida; Malpighiales; Euphorbiaceae. The record is from RNAcentral.
UCUCUCUCUCUCUCUCUCUCUUUGAUGCACUGCUGAACUUGAAAUUAUUAUAUACUAUUAUUAGUUUUGUCUUGGUAAUUCACACCAUCAUCACCUCCCUCCGCAACAACUCUACCCACCGUUAUUUGAUACAGUCUAUUUCAUCUUCUUUCUAUUCUUCUCGCAGUUUCUCUAUUAGCUUGGUUUGCUACCAUUCAGUGUGCAGUGGCUUGCUGCACAAAGAAAUUACUCUACCCAAAAAACCCGUUUUGAAGGAGAGAUGAAAAUGAAUUUCUUCGUUUUGUGCUUUUCUUUAAUUUAUGUUGCAACCCUUUUCAGUACUUGCUGUCUUGCUCUCACUGAUGAUGGUCUGGCAUUGUUGGAAAUCAAGAGCACAUUGAAUGAUAGUAGAAACAUACUAGGUAACUGGCAAUCUACUGAUGAAUCUCCUUGCAAAUGGACUGGUAUUUCUUGCCAUCCCCAUGAUCAAAGAGUCAGUUCAAUAAACCUGCCUUACAUGCAGUUGGGAGGGAUUAUUUCUCCUAGCAUUGGUAAACUCGGUAGACUACAAAGGCUGGCACUUCACCAAAACAGUUUACAUGGGAUUAUUCCCAACGAAAUCACCAAUUGUACGGAGCUCAGAGCAGUGUGAGGAAAAAAUGGGAAUUUCUCUCUUUCGUUUCUUUUUUAUGCAUAUUUGAGGAGUCCCAAAGGAAUGUUUAUAUUUUUCCUCAUCUGUAAUGGACUAUUUGUAGGUACUUGAGGUCUAAUUAUCUACAAGGAGGCAUUCCGUCAGAUAUUGGAAACCUAUCUCAUCUCACUAUACUGGACUUGUCAAGCAACAUGCUAAAAGGUGCUAUACCUUCAUCUAUUGGCCGGCUUACUCGUUUGGGCCACCUGAAUUUGUCUACCAACUUUUUCUCUGGUGAAAUCCCAGAUUUUGGAGCUUUAAGCACUUUUGGGAACAGCUCGUAAGUGCACAUAAUGACAACCGUGAUCAGCUUCGAGGCUAUGCUUGUUGCAAUAUCUGGUUUCAUGAGUAAUACAUUGACAGGCUUAUUGGUAUCUUAUACUUUGUAGCCUGAUGAUAUUAUAUGUCGUGAAUAGCCUGAACCAUGCCCAUUCUGAGUUACAACAGCUUUAGUGAAUACAUUGAAUAGCACUUACUUGGUUUAGUUGUUGUCUUGUCAACAGAAAUAGCAUGUUUAUAGGCAUAAGUGAAGUAUGCAUUGUUGGUAUGUAACACUAAAUGAACAGAGAUAAAUACAUGAUUAAAAAUUUAGGACUUUGACUAAUAGUAUGCUGAAAAUCUGAUGUCAGCAUCUCUGUAUAGUUACAUGAGGCAAUAACAUACAUGAACAUGAGUUUUCAUUGCUGAGCCACCCACCUUUCUUUUCAUAGGUUUAUUGGCAAUUUAGAUCUUUGUGGUAGACAAGUGCACAAGCCAUGUCGAACCUCAAUGGGAUUUCCUGCAGUGCUUCCACAUGCUGCAAGUGAUGAAGCAGCAGGCAAGUUCCUUACUACAUUUUCUGGGACUACCAACUGUGAGUAAAUUAAUACUGGGGAUUUUUGCAGUUCCUGCAAAACGAUCCUCUCAUUACAUCAAAGGGGUGCUUAUUGGUGUUAUGGCCACAAUGGCCCUUACACUAGCUGUGCUUCUUGCAUUCCUCUGGAUUUGCCUGUUUUCAAAGAAGGAAAGAGCUGCUGAGAAAUACACAGAAGUCAAAAAGCAAGUUGAUCAAGAAGCAAGUGCAAAGCUUAUUACUUUCCAUGGUGACCUGCCUUAUCCUUCAUGUGAGAUCGUAGAAAAGCUAGAGUCUCUUGAUCAGGAGGAUGUUGUAGGUUCAGGAGGAUUUGGUACUGUAUACCGGAUGGUGAUGAAUGAUUGUGGAACAUUUGCUGUUAAAAGGAUUGACCGGAGUCGUGAAGGAUCUGAUCAAGUAUUUGAGAGGGAGUUAGAGAUCUUGGGUAGCAUCAAUCACAUAAAUUUAGUGAAUCUGAGGGGUUACUGCAGGCUUCCAAUGACAAAACUUCUCAUCUAUGAUUAUCUAGCCAUGGGCAGUUUAGAUGACAUUUUGCAUGAAUGUAGCCAAGAACAACCAUUAAAUUGGAGUGCUCGUUUAAGAAUUGCUUUAGGUUCUGCAAGAGGCCUUGCGUACUUGCACCAUGAUUGCAGCCCAAAGAUAGUCCAUCGUGACAUAAAAUCCAGCAAUAUUCUCCUUGAUGAAAAUUUGGAGCCACGUGUCUCUGACUUUGGUCUUGCCAAACUUUUGGUGGAUGAGGAUGCCCAUGUCACGACUGUAGUUGCUGGCACUUUUGGUUAUUUGGCACCUGAGUAUCUACAAAGUGGGAGGGCCACUGAAAAGUCGGAUGUCUAUAGCUUUGGAGUUCUCUUGCUAGAGAUUGUAACCGGAAAAAGACCUACUGAUCCAGCUUUUGUAAAGAGAGGCUUAAAUGUCGUUGGUUGGAUGAACACACUAUUAAGAGAGAAUCGGUUGGAAGAUGUGGUAGAUAAAAGGUGCACUGAUGGAAAUAUGGAGACUGUGGAAGUCAUUCUUGAAAUAGCGGCAAGAUGCACCGAUGCGAACCCUGAUGAUCGGCCAACAAUGAACCAGGUAUUGCAGUUGUUAGAGCAAGAGGUCAUGUCUCCUUGUCCAAGUGAAAUCUACGAGACUCAUUCAGAUUAUUCUUGAAUCACAUAAAGCAUUCAGUGUGUCACAGCUACCGAAUAUUUAUCCAUCCAGCUAGAUGUAUUUAUUACAUCCUCAACAAAGUUGUGAUAUUAUGCCUGUCCCUAUAAUUGGGGCCUGUAAAUUCUUUCCAUGCAAAUGCUGGAUUUCCAUUUUGUUUUGCACCUCUUGAAUUUCCAUGUUUGCUUUCAUUUCUACUUCAAGUUGAAUGAAGUCAAUAAACAAUUCUACA